GGUGCAAGGCCCACUCUAGCACGUUCAGCUAUGAUGGGGAAAAAAACCAAAACACAGAAACAAAAAUCACUUUCUCAUUUUUAGACAGACCCAACUGAGAGAGCUCCCUGAGAGCUCUGUAAUGAGUUAAGUCUCCGCCCCCCAACCCACCCCAUUCCAAAAAAGCUGUCUCUAUUUUCAUCAGCCUAGAAAAUGAAAUGCUUUUGCUCAUUCCUAGAAAGAAAAUCAUUUCAGAAUCAUAUUCAACUGCCAGAAAGGUAUUCCCAAUGGGUCAUAUAACCAAGAGCAGGGCCUGAAGCCAGUAGAAGACUUCAAGAUAUUGUUGAUAUUAGGGUUCUGGAUUUAGACUUUGAAGAAGACUUCAGAAGUUAUUGAACUCAAGCCCCUGCUUAACAGAUGAGGAAACCGAGGUACAGGGAGAUGUUAGUAACUUGUCUAAGGAAAAAAAAAUCUUUUCAGAGAUGGGAUUUGAACUGGGGUCCUCUGAAGUCAAUCAGGGCUAUUUCUACUGGACCAAGAUUAUGCUUAAAAACAGUACUUUGUUCCUUUCUCAUGUUUCUCACAUAAACGUAAUGCCUGAACCUAUUCCUCUGGGGCCCUUAGUGAGGUGAGAAGCCAGAGCCCCAAAUAGGUGAGGAGAUUCCUACUGAUGAGUUGACUGCCACUCUAGAAAUUCCUUCCAGAACCCUAAAAUUCAAGACAUCCACCUCCAUGCCCUGACUUCCAAGAUUGGGAUUGGGGACAAUCAACUGGCCAAUCCUCCCGAAUGAUUUAAUCAGGUGAAAAAAGCAAGGCUCUGAGAAGUUAGCCUGAUUUGCCCAUGAUCAUGAACAUAAUACAUUUAUGAACCAUUGUUUAAACCCAAGAUUGAGGACCACGUAGCUCCUUGGACUGCUUAUUCUUCAUUCCAGGGAGGCUGGGCUGGGCUAAAGGACCAAGAACCCGAGUGCCCAUCCUGACCCUGACACUUACUGGGCAUAUGGUUCUGGGUAAAUCACUUUGCCUGUAAGGAGUCUUGAUGUACUCAUCUAUAAAGUAGAGACAAAA
Monodelphis domestica (gray short-tailed opossum) is the source of this 1047-nucleotide long non-coding RNA. RefSeq lists it as uncharacterized. NCBI's taxonomy places the organism in Eukaryota, Metazoa, Chordata, Mammalia, Didelphimorphia, Didelphidae. The record is from RefSeq and is a predicted model, not a curated record.